GACACACACACACCCACACUGCAUACCAGCACACCACGUGGCAGCCACGAGGCAGAGACACCAUCAUAUUGCUCAGACACAAGCCAGUGCCUCUAUGUCUGCAGUGGCAACGGUGGCACAGAGCUCCAGAUGGACCUCCAGGGUGAACUCUGCUUGCUGUUUUUAUGUCUCCCUCAGGAUCUCUGCCUUGAAUGAAUUCCUCCACCACAGUUCACACUACAUUUAUUCCAAGGACCCCAGGAAGACCAAAAAAUCGGUAGUGGACAUGGACUGUUCUCAUUACAGAAUCUGCAAGUAGAAAGUUCAUUGCUCAAAAAA
This is a long non-coding RNA of Pogoniulus pusillus (Red-fronted tinkerbird), 318 nucleotides long. RefSeq lists it as uncharacterized. Lineage: Eukaryota; Metazoa; Chordata; Aves; Piciformes; Lybiidae. The record is from RefSeq and is a predicted model, not a curated record. The transcript is spliced from 3 exons.